AUGGGCUGCGGAGGACUAGCUAUUAUGGCUGCUCCCGCCUUAAACUUGCUGCACGACCGCAAGCUUAUGCUAGGUUUAUUGGAGUGGUGUUUACAUUUUAUUCCUACAACCAUUCAUAGCUUGGUGGCGUUAAAUUUGAUGUUGCGUCUGUGCAACUGAAGUUUGACCUCAAAUCAGACAAGGAUACCCGCUGAACUUAA
Molecule: unclassified non-coding RNA, 200 nt
Filed under: soil metagenome
Description: partial contains internal transcribed spacer 2 and large subunit ribosomal RNA
Source: RNAcentral